GAAGACAAUGAAUAAAUAGAGACUGCAAAAAUGGAAGCCCUAACCCUCGCCGGCGACAGCGAAGGCGAAGGCCUCCUAUCGUCGGUACCCGCCGAGGUCAACGGAGGCGAUCCUCUUCUCCACCCUCCUCCGGCCCCUGAUUCCCCACCGCUCGCCUCCUCCACUCCCGUCGCCAUCCAACCGGACGCCGCCUUCUCCCUAUUCGACCCCAGCGAGGACGGUAGUUACGACGCUUUCGAUUUGGCCCCCUCUCCUCGCGUCCACGAAGCGCCCUCUCGAGCCGGCCUAUCCUUGGCCUCCGAGUGCUUCAAGAUCUCUGUCUCCGACCCCCAGAAGGAGCAGGAAGCUGGCUCCUCCAUCGUCCCUGGCUCCGGAUCCUUCGUCUCCUACCUCAUCACCACUCGGAUCGUCGGCGGCCAUUCCGAGCUUCACGUCCGCAGGAGGUUCAAGGAUGUCGUCGCCCUUGCUGACCGCCUCGCUGAGGCUUACCGGGGGUACUUCAUCCCUCAGCGGCCUGACAAGAGUGUGGUCGAGGGACAGGUAAUGCAGAAGCACGAAUUCGUUGAGCAGCGCCGCUCUGCCAUGGAGAAGUACCUCAAUCGACUGGCUGCCCAUCCAGUGAUCGGGAGGAGCAACGAGUUCAGGAUAUUUCUUAGGCUGCCUGGAAAUUCGCCUUUACCCGUGAGUACAGAGGUGGUGCCAAGAUCAGGAGGAAUGGGGACGCUGCCGAAUCAUGUCUUUGGUGAGGCAGGAGGGAGUGAGGGUAUGGUGACCCAAAAAAUUGGCCAACCGGCAAAGGGAGGAAGGGAUUUCAUGAAGAUAUUCAGAGAGUUCAAGCAGUCGGUAACAAAUGACUGGGGAGGCGCAAAGCCAUUGGUGGUAGAGGAGGACAAGGAGUUCCUGGAUAGGAAAGUGAAGAUGCAAGAUUUAGAACAGCAGCUUACAACUUCUUCCAGGCAGGCUGAGGUGCUUGUCAAUGCACAGCAGGAUAUUGGAGACACAUUGGGCCAACUGGGGUUGACAUUUGUGAAGCUUGCUAAAUUUGAAACAGAAAAUGCCACUUUUCUAUCACAGAGACGAAGAGCUGCUGAAAUCAAACAGUUUGCAACUGCACUUUUGAGAAUAAGUAGAUUCUAUCGAGAAUCAAAUGGACACACAGUCAAACAUCUGGAUAUUCUUCAUGAAUAUCUAGGAUUGAUGCUAGCUGUUCACGGUGCAUUCUCAGAUCGUUCUACUGCGCUUUUGACAGUCCAAACACUUACCACCGAUUUGUCUUCCUUGCAUGCAAGGAGAGAGAAAUUGGAAGCGUCUUCAAUACAAUCGGGGGACAAGUCUAAACUUCAAAGGAUAGAUGAGCUGAAAGAAACAAUAAGAAACACAGAAGAUGCUAAAGUCUGUGCGAUUAAAGACUAUGAGUGUAUAAAGGACGCAGAAGAACUUUAUUCAGCAGUGAGGAUGCUUGGGCAACAAAAGGUUCAGGAGUGGACUGGAGCACAGAGUGGAAGGCAGAUGAUUAGGAAAACAACAGGAGUGAACUCGAGAGGCUAGACAAGGAGAGACACGAGGAUUUUCUAUUGAUGCUCAAAGGAUUCGUCAGUAAUCAGAUCAUCUAUGCGGAUAAGAUGGCAAACGUGUGGGCGAAUAUCGCAGAAGAAACAAAGGGCUGUUACACAAGUCAGGAUAAGUAAAGUGGAAAUCACACAUGUAUAUUUGAGAAUUGCCCCUAUUCUGCACUCCUUUUUUCAGAGUCAGCAAGCCCCAAUAAGUAUUUUUCUCUCUGUAGAUUUAUUUACGCAAUUUUGUUUGUGUUUUUUACUCUCCAGAUUUUGUAGAAUUUUGAUUACUAUAAUUUUAAGUCUAAUAUUUUUGCUUCUUUUUCA
RNA transcript from Zingiber officinale, 1880 nucleotides. It is a transcript of the gene named sorting nexin 2A-like, with no coding region annotated. The record is from RefSeq and is a predicted model, not a curated record. NCBI's taxonomy places the organism in Eukaryota, Viridiplantae, Streptophyta, Magnoliopsida, Zingiberales, Zingiberaceae. The transcript has 6 exons.